Molecule: unclassified non-coding RNA, 17 nt
Filed under: Mus musculus (house mouse)
Lineage: Eukaryota; Metazoa; Chordata; Mammalia; Rodentia; Muridae
Description: oocyte_clustered_small_RNA5869
Source: RNAcentral
CAACCAGUGCACCCUCU